GGUUUGACAAAAUGGCUUAGGGAUUAGAGCAUCUGUCUCAGAUGCAGAAGUUUGUGGGUUUGAUUCCCGGUCAAGUUA
Non-coding RNA from Potamilus streckersoni, 78 nucleotides. Lineage: Eukaryota; Metazoa; Mollusca; Bivalvia; Unionida; Unionidae. The record is from the annotation of a GenBank genome assembly.